GCUUAGGAAUCUGCCUAUUAGUGGGGGACAACAUUCCGAAAGGAAUGCUAAUACCGCAUACGUCCUACGGGAGAAAGCAGGGGACCUUCGGGCCUUGCGCUAAUAGAUGAGCCUAAGUCGGAUUAGCUAGUUGGUGGGGUAAAGGCCUACCAAGGCGACGAUCUGUAGCGGGUCUGAGAGGAUGAUCCGCCACACUGGGACUGAGACACGGCCCAGACUCCUACGGGAGGCAGCAGUGGGGAAUAUUGGACAAUGGGGGGAACCCUGAUCCAGCCAUGCCGCGUGUGUGAAGAAGGCCUUAUGGUUGUAAAGCACUUUAAGCGAGGAGGAGGCUACUAGUAUUAAUACUACUGGAUAGUGGACGUUACUCGCAGAAUAAGCACCGGCUAACUCUGUGCCAGCAGCCGCGGUAAUACAGAGGGUGCGAGCGUUAAUCGGAUUUACUGGGCGUAAAGCGUGCGUAGGCGGCCAUUUAAGUCAAAUGUGAAAUCCCCGAGCUUAACUUGGGGAAUUGCAUUCGAUACUGGAUGGCUAGAGUAUGGGAGAGGAUGGUAGAAUUCCAGUGUAGCGGUGAAAUGCGUAGAGAUCUGGAGGAAUACCGAUGGCGAAGGCAGCCAUCUGGCCUAAUACUGACGCUGAGUACGAAAGCAUGGGGAGCAAACAGGAUUAGAUACCCUGGUAGUCCAUGCCGUAAACGAUGUCUACUAGCCGUUGGGGCCUUUGAGGCUUUAGUGCGCAGCUA
Molecule: ribosomal RNA, 742 nt
Filed under: Acinetobacter venetianus
Lineage: Bacteria; Pseudomonadati; Pseudomonadota; Gammaproteobacteria; Moraxellales; Moraxellaceae
Description: bacterial SSU rRNA
Rfam family: Bacterial small subunit ribosomal RNA
Source: RNAcentral